This 393-nucleotide ribosomal RNA is filed under the name uncultured bacterium. Its description in RNAcentral is "partial 16S ribosomal RNA". It matches the Rfam family "Bacterial small subunit ribosomal RNA", at positions 523 to 918 of the family's 1533-position model. The record is from RNAcentral.
AUACGGAGGAUCCGAGCGUUAUCCGGAUUUAUUGGGUUCAAAGGGAGCGUAGGUGGAUUGUUAAGUCAGUUGUGAAAGUUUGCGGCUCAACCGUAAAAUUGCAGUUGAAACUGGCAGUCUUGAGUACAGUAGAGGUGGGCGGAAUUCGUGGUGUAGCGGUGAAAUGCUUAGAUAUCACGAAGAACUCCGAUUGCGAAGGCAGCUCACUAGACUGUUACUGACACUGAUGCUCGAAAGUGUGGGUAUCAAACAGGAUUAGAUACCCUGGUAGUCCACACAGUAAACGAUGAAUACUCGCUGUUUGCGAUAUACAGUAAGCGGCCAAGCGAAAGCAUUAAGUAUUCCACCUGGGGAGUACGCCGGCAACGGUGAAACUCAAAGGAAUUGACGGGG